AAGUCGUAACAAGGUCUCCGUAGGUGAACCUGCGGAGGGAUCAUUACCGAGUUCGUGCCCCGCAGCGGGGUAGAUCUCCCACCCUUGUGUAUCUUCGUACCGUUCUGUUGCUUUGGCAGGCCGCUCAGGCUGCGGCUCGACCACCGGCUCCCCCUAGGGGGGCGGGUGUGCGCCUGCCAGAGGACCCCCCCAACUCUUGUUUGUCAGUGUCGUCUGAGUACUACAACCAAUCGUUAAAACUUUCAACAACGGAUCUCUUGGUUCUG
Molecule: unclassified non-coding RNA, 266 nt
Filed under: Scytalidium sp.
Lineage: Eukaryota; Fungi; Ascomycota; Leotiomycetes
Description: partial internal transcribed spacer region
Rfam family: Eukaryotic small subunit ribosomal RNA (bases 1-46)
Source: RNAcentral